GAUGAACGCUGGCGGCGUGCCUAAUACAUGCAAGUCGAGCGGACGGACGAGACGCUUGCUUCUCUGAUGUUAGCGGCGGACGGGUGAGAAACACGUGGAUAACCUACCUAUAAGACUGAGAUAACUUCGGGAAACCGGCGCUAAUACCGGAUAAUCUUUUGAACCGCAUGGUUCGAAAGUGAAAGACGGUCUUGCUGUCACUUCUAGAUGGAUCCGCGCUGCAUUAGCUAGUUGGUAAGGUAACGGCUUACCAAGGCUACGAUGCAUAGCCGACGUGAGAGAGUGAUCGGCCACCCUGGAAGGUGGACGCGGACCAGACGCCUACGGGAGGCAGCAGUAUCGAAUCGGCCGCAAUGGGCGAAAGCCUGACGGAGCAACGGCGCGUGAGUGAUGAAGGUCCUCCGAUCGUAAAACUCUGUUAUGAGUGAAGAACAGAUGUGUAAGUAACUGUGCACAUCGUGACGGUACCGAAUCAGAAAGCCACGGCUAACUACGUG
RNAcentral lists this ribosomal RNA (497 nucleotides) under uncultured bacterium. Its description in RNAcentral is "partial 16S ribosomal RNA". It matches the Rfam family "Bacterial small subunit ribosomal RNA", at positions 28 to 507 of the family's 1533-position model. The record is from RNAcentral.